GAUGAACGCUGGCGGCGUGCCUAAUACAUGCAAGUCGAGCGAACGGACGAGAAGCUUGCUUCUCUGAUGUUAGCGGCGGACGGGUGAGUAACACGUGGAUAACCUACCUAUAAGACUGGGAUAACUUCGGGAAACCGGAGCUAAUACCGGAUGAUAUUUUGAACCGCAUGGUUCAAAAGUGAAAGACGGUCUUGCUGUCACUUAUAGAUGGAUCCGCGCUGCAUUAGCUAGUUGGUAAGGUAACGGCUUACCAAGGCAACGAUGCAUAGCCGACCUGAGAGGGUGAUCGGCCACACUGGAACUGAGACACGGUCAAGACUCCUACGGGAGGCAGCAGUAGGGAAUCUUCCGCAAUGGGCGAAAGCCUGACGGAGCAACGCCGCGUGAGUGAUGAAGGUCUUCGGAUCGUAAAACUCUGUUAUUAGGGAAGAACAUAUGUGUAAGUAACUGUGCACAUCUUGACGGUACCUAAUCAGAAAGCCACGGCUAACUACGUGCCAGCAGCCGCGGUAAUACGUAGGUGGCAAGCGUUAUCCGGAAUUAUUGGGCGUAAAGCGCGCGUAGGCGGUUUUUUAAGUCUGAUGUGAAAGCCCACGGCUCAACCGUGGAGGGUCAUUGGAAACUGGAAAACUUGAGUGCAGAAGAGGAAAGUGGAAUUCCAUGUGUAGCGGUGAAAUGCGCAGAGAUAUGGAGGAACACCAGUGGCGAAGGCGACUUUCUGGUCUGUAACUGACGCUGAUGUGCGAAAGCGUGGGGAUCAAACAGGAUUAGAUACCCUGGUAGUCCACGCCGUAAACGAUGAGUGCUAAGUGUUAGGGGGUUUCCGCCCCUUAGUGCUGCAGCUAACGCAUUAAGCACUCCGCCUGGGGAGUACGACCGCAAGGUUGAAACUCAAAGGAAUUGACGGGGACCCGCACAAGCGGUGGAGCAUGUGGUUUAAUUCGAAGCAACGCGAAGAACCUUACCAAAUCUUGACAUCCUUUGACAACUCUAGAGAUAGAGCCUUCCCCUUCGGGGGACAAAGUGACAGGUGGUGCAUGGUUGUCGUCAGCUCGUGUCGUGAGAUGUUGGGUUAAGUCCCGCAACGAGCGCAACCCUUAAGCUUAGUUGCCAUCAUUAAGUUGGGCACUCUAAGUUGACUGCCGGUGACAAACCGGAGGAAGGUGGGGAUGACGUCAAAUCAUCAUGCCCCUUAUGAUUUGGGCUACACACGUGCUACAAUGGACAAUACAAAGGGCAGCGAAACCGCGAGGUCAAGCAAAUCCCGUAAAGUUGUUCUCAGUUCGGAUUGUAGUCUGCAACUCGACUACAUGAAGCUGGAAUCGCUAGUAAUCGUAGAUCAGCAUGCUACGGUGAAUACGUUCCCGGGUCU
RNAcentral lists this ribosomal RNA (1372 nucleotides) under uncultured bacterium. RNAcentral's name for it is "bacterial SSU rRNA". It matches the Rfam family "Bacterial small subunit ribosomal RNA", at positions 28 to 1381 of the family's 1533-position model. The record is from RNAcentral.